Molecule: ribosomal RNA, 445 nt
Filed under: uncultured bacterium
Lineage: Bacteria
Description: partial 16S ribosomal RNA
Rfam family: Bacterial small subunit ribosomal RNA
Source: RNAcentral
CCUACGGGGGGCUGCAGUGAGGAAUUUUGCGCAAUGGCCGCAAGGCUGACGCAGCAACGCCGCGUGGGUGAUGAAGGCCUUCGGGUCGUAAAGCCCUGUCAGGUGGGAAGAAAGGUUUCAAGGAGCAACACUUGGGAUUUGACGGUACCACCAGAGGAAGCACCGACUAACUCCGUGCCAGCCGCCGCGGUAAUACGGAGGGUGCGGGCGUUAUUCGGAUGUAGUGGGCGUAAAGCGCGUGUAGGGGGGGCCCUGGGCUUAACCUGGGAAGUGCAUUGGAAACUGUUUUUCUUGAGUACUGGAGAGGAAGGGGGAAUUCCCGGUGUAGAGGUGAAAUUCGUAGAGAUCGGGAGGAAUACCAGUGGCGUAGGCGCCCUUCUGGACGGUAACUGACGCUGAGACGCGAAAGCGUGGGGAGCAAACAGGAUUAGAUACCCCAGUAGUC